ACGUCGUCUCUCUUAUCUCCAACACCUCCCUCUUCUCGCCCCAAACCCUAGAGGUAUGACGGGCACCGAUCUGGUGGCGCCACCACCGCGGAUGACCACGUGCCGGCAAGGCCCCCAUCUGUCCCUCGCUUGAUCCCCUCCGCCCGCUCCUAUGGUGUGUGCCACCGAAGCCUCCGGCGGCGCUUGCGUCCUGGGGUCCGCCCCCUAUCGCUCAGCCUCGUGUCUGCCGGCGCAGGCGCCGCCACCUAGUCAUGUGUGCCGUUCUGGGAGGCUUGACAAGCUGCUGAUUAGAGGACACCAACCUAGCCUCAGAGGAGGCCAUCCUCGCCAAGUUCGUGUAGGUGUUGGUCGCCUGCGUGCGCGGCCAUGCCGCCGCCGUCCCCUGCUACGAAUCUCGCUCACUGCAAGCUGCAGAGCCCGUGCCCAUCUCCCCUGAGGUAAGGCUGCACCAUCCUAAGUUUCUAUUUUCUAUCUGGGCUCCACGACCGGUAGUAGGAUGCUCAUUAGGCAACCCAAGGUGUGUACGCCCCUACUUCCCCAAGGUACUCAAGCCUCACGCCUAGGCUGACCACGAGAUGUGUGCUGCUGUGAGGCAUGUAGCACCACUUCUCCCGACUGCUAUCAUUAGUGAAAGAUCUCAUGUCACGGCGUCAUGGUCUCAUGGAAUGGACAUCACAUGGCUUAUUAGGAACUCUGAGUUCAGCGGGCACCAUGCCGAAUGUGUUAGAUCCACUAUUUUAGAGGGUAAAUAGGUCAACCUCUUCCAAUACACAAUUGCUGAGGUGUUCAAAAAUCUUAGUGAGAGAGGACAUUGACGGAGCGAGAAUGGAACACAACAAGUUUUGUGUGCGUGUGUGUGUGUGUGUGCAUUACCGAAAUGUCGCAAAACAUGU
This is a long non-coding RNA of Triticum aestivum (bread wheat), 893 nucleotides long. RefSeq lists it as uncharacterized. The record is from RefSeq and is a predicted model, not a curated record. The transcript is spliced from 6 exons. NCBI's taxonomy places the organism in Eukaryota, Viridiplantae, Streptophyta, Magnoliopsida, Poales, Poaceae.